Molecule: ribosomal RNA, 1238 nt
Filed under: metagenome
Description: bacterial SSU rRNA
Rfam family: Bacterial small subunit ribosomal RNA
Source: RNAcentral
GGGGUCGCGUCCUAUCAGCUUGACGGCGGGGUAACGGCCCACCGUGGCUUCGACGGGUAGCCGGCCUGAGAGGGCGACCGGCACAUUGGGACUGAGAUACGGCCCAGACUCCUACGGGAGGCAGCAGUGGGGAAUAUUGCACAAUGGGCGCAAGCCUGAUGCAGCGACGCCGCGUGAGGGAUGGAGGCCUUCGGGUUGUAAACCUCUUUUAUCGGGGAGCAAGCGAGAGUGAGUUUACCCGUUGAAUAAGCACCGGCUAACUACGUGCCAGCAGCCGCGGUAAUACGUAGGGUGCAAGCGUUAUCCGGAAUUAUUGGGCGUAAAGGGCUCGUAGGCGGUUCGUCGCGUCCGGUGUGAAAGUCCAUCGCUUAACGGUGGAUCCGCGCCGGGUACGGGCGGGCUUGAGUGCGGUAGGGGAGACUGGAAUUCCCGGUGUAACGGUGGAAUGUGUAGAUAUCGGGAAGAACACCAAUGGCGAAGGCAGGUCUCUGGGCCGUUACUGACGCUGAGGAGCGAAAGCGUGGGGAGCGAACAGGAUUAGAUACCCUGGUAGUCCACGCCGUAAACGGUGGAUGCUGGAUGUGGGGCCCGUUCCACGGGUUCCGUGUCGGAGCUAACGCGUUAAGCAUCCCGCCUGGGGAGUACGGCCGCAAGGCUAAAACUCAAAGAAAUUGACGGGGGCCCGCACAAGCGGCGGAGCAUGCGGAUUAAUUCGAUGCAACGCGAAGAACCUUACCUGGGCUUGACAUGUUCCCGACGGUCGUAGAGAUACGGCUUCCCUUCGGGGCGGGUUCACAGGUGGUGCAUGGUCGUCGUCAGCUCGUGUCGUGAGAUGUUGGGUUAAGUCCCGCAACGAGCGCAACCCUCGCCCCGUGUUGCCAGCGGAUUAUGCCGGGAACUCACGGGGGACCGCCGGGGUUAACUCGGAGGAAGGUGGGGAUGACGUCAGAUCAUCAUGCCCCUUACGUCCAGGGCUUCACGCAUGCUACAAUGGCCGGUACAACGGGAUGCGACGCGGCGACGCGGAGCGGAUCCCUGAAAACCGGUCUCAGUUCGGAUCGCAGUCUGCAACUCGACUGCGUGAAGGCGGAGUCGCUAGUAAUCGCGAAUCAGCAACGUCGCGGUGAAUGCGUUCCCGGGCCUUGUACACACCGCCCGUCAAGUCAUGAAAGUGGGCAGCACCCGAAGCCGGUGGCCUAACCCCUUGUGGGAUGGAGCCGUCUAAGGUGAGGCUCGUG